GAGUUUGAUCCUGGCUCAGAUUGAACGCUGGCGGCAUGCCUUACACAUGCAAGUCGAACGGCAGCAUGAUCUAGCUUGCUAGAUUGAUGGCGAGUGGCGAACGGGUGAGUAAUACAUCGGAACGUGCCCUGUAGUGGGGGAUAACUAGUCGAAAGAUUAGCUAAUACCGCAUACGACCUGAGGGUGAAAGUGGGGGACCGCAAGGCCUCAUGCUAUAGGAGCGGCCGAUGUCUGAUUAGCUAGUUGGUGGGGUAAAGGCCCACCAAGGCGACGAUCAGUAGCUGGUCUGAGAGGACGAUCAGCCACACUGGGACUGAGCACGGCCCAGACUCCUACGGGAGGCAGCAGUGGGGAAUUUUGGACAAUGGGCGAAAGCCUGAUCCAGCAAUGCCGCGUGUGUGAAGAAGGCC
Molecule: ribosomal RNA, 410 nt
Filed under: uncultured microorganism
Description: bacterial SSU rRNA
Rfam family: Bacterial small subunit ribosomal RNA
Source: RNAcentral